UUAACACAAAAUAAGGAAAGUAUAAAAAGAACUAAAAAAGAAAAGAAAACUAAGAUUUGUCAAGUCUUCGAUCUUUAAUUUUUAAGAGUUUUUCCUCGCUUUCUUGCUUACUUGACGCUCUUUUUUUUUCAGAGAAAAUCUAUAUUAAUUGUGUCUUUUAAUUACUUUAAACGUGCCUUUAAAUAAGCUCCAAAAAGACUUAAUUUGAGUUAAAUCUGGAAUCAGAAUGUCCUAGAUAUCGCGUCAAUGCCAUAGCCACACUUUUCUGGUAUUACGACACCCAAGUUUUCAGGUUUUGGAUGUUGCAACCUCAAUUCUUUAUCGCCAUGGUGCCCAACUUUUUGUCUCUUCGUACACUUUACUACAUUCGAUCAACUUGGGACGCAAAUUUUCUCCUCGAUCUAGGUCGAAUUAGGCAAAGUGACAAACAUAAAAGUUGUAGUCCUGUCUCUUGGCGUUCCAAUGGCUCAAGAAUCACAUCAAUUGGGCUUCUAAAAUGAGAGUUAUGCUCAAAAUAUAGAAACAUGUAUGAGAAAAGCACUUGGCCAUUCAUGCACUCUUCUUCACCAAUUGAAGUUGUUUUAAUUGCACACCUACAAGAGCAUAUUCAAUAAUGAAAUAACUAAAAGCAAUUUAACAUAAAACUAAAAUAAAACAACUUAAAUUAAAACAACUCAUCAUGAUUUAAACUAAACUAGAAAAACAACUAUAAAAACCUAAUUUCAAACCUAAAUAUCAAGAACUUAGCCAAUUUAAUACUCAAAAUGUAACCAAAUAACUCUAUGAAAUAGAGUUCUCACACCCCUAAACUUUAG
Molecule: long non-coding RNA, 815 nt
Filed under: Theobroma cacao (cacao)
Lineage: Eukaryota; Viridiplantae; Streptophyta; Magnoliopsida; Malvales; Malvaceae
Description: long non-coding RNA (TCAC_LNC000938)
Source: RNAcentral